Gallus gallus (chicken) is the source of this 906-nucleotide long non-coding RNA. Lineage: Eukaryota; Metazoa; Chordata; Aves; Galliformes; Phasianidae. The record is from Ensembl.
GUGGUCCUUGAAGUCCUCCUGACUUUAUGAUGCACCAGUACAGCAUUCGCAAUACAAACACGCACCCUCUCCUCAGGACAGGAGGUGGAACAACCAUUUUGCACCUAUGGGAAAUGGGAAAGAAAUACUGUCUUCUCCAGCAGCUCUGCAGAUCUGAAGAUGUCCACAUCAAAUGACUCAUAGAGCACUUGGCAGGGAAAAGUCUUGUCAAGCUGGCAACAUGAAGUGGAGAAAUCAGAGUGAAGAACAAACCUAGACCACUAGAUAGACCUGAUCCCACUUUUUUUAAACAACUCCAUAUCCUUGGCAAGCUGCUCUCUGCUGCAGGAGAUGUGACAAGAGCCUGGUGACUGGUACGAGUGACCUUCCAAAGGAUUAGCCAGAGAUGUGUGACUGCCAGUGAAUAACUCUAUUCAUUUAUUAUCUGUGAUGAACAGUAAAUCAUUCUAUAUCUCACAUUCUGAUAUAUCAAAGAACUUUACAACCCAGUGAUCUUUCCAGUGCAGCCAUGAGGUCUGCAAGAACUGCCCAUCUGAGAGUUGGAAAAGUAGAGAAAUAAAAAGACUAUGUUUCUACCUAGAAGAAAUCACAUCUUUCAACCAUUAUGAGUGAAUAAGUUAUUUUCAGUCUUGAAAUGAAAAGUGCAAAGAAACAUUCACCAGAACUCUCAUUUUCCAUAGAUAAGGCAAAACUGCUUGAAACAGCUGAGCUUUACACUACAUUUAAGAAAUGAUGGGACUGCCACAAAACACGUUUGUAGAAUUAAGCAUUUCAAGUAGAGGUAUCUUUUUUGUUUUCCUUGAAAAAGUGUUCCCUGUGACGGUUUUUUUUUCGUUGCUUAUGAUGGAGUCAGAGAGACUAUUUUCACAGGUACUCAAAGAGCAAAUACCUUCCUUGACUCUUUCA